UGUGUGUGUGUGUGUGUGUGUUUGUAUAUGUAAAGCGGUUGUAUACAUGUAUGCAUGGAAUUAUAUAUAUAUAUAUUUUUUUUUAUUAUAAUUUUUUUUUUUUAUCUGCUCUCCCAGUUGCCUAUGACAAAUUUCUCCUAGGGGAGACAAUAAAUGAGAACUAACUAACUACUAAAGACAAGUUAAAAAUACUUUAUCUUCUUCACUACAGGCACAGUCAAUCAGAGAAAGAAAUGGUUUCUCAGAAAAUAUAAUGAACAACACAUUCCUGGACCAGGAGUACCAAGAUUUAAACUAUAAUGCAGAAGAAUACUUUGAGAACAUCCUAAAGAACUUGGAGUUUGGCCAGAGGAAACGCCUAAAAAAACUGAGAGUCAAAGUGAACAAAGAAGAGUGGAUCACAGGGGCUGCUGUGGUCAAUGCAUUCUACUCAUCUAGCAGAAACCAAAUAGGUAUUUGAAUGCAUUUACAUAAUGUAGCAGUUCUACAUUAAAAAAACACAAAUCUGCUUUUUCUGAUCAAGUAAGAAUUAAUUUGAGUGACCUGCUUCCUCUUAGUAUUCCCUGCAGGUAUUCUUCAGCCACCAUUCUUUGAUAAAGGUCAGCCCUGGUCUCUGAACUAUGGUGGUAUUGGGAUGUUCAUCGGGCAUGAGAUCACUCAUGGCUUUGAUGACAAUGGUCUAGAAACAUUGGAUGACACACUAGAAACAGAUCUCCCUCCCUUGCAUAUUUUGUCACGUAAAAGUGUUGUAAGGGUUAAUUUUCCUACAUUUCUUACAUUUCUUUACAGGACAUAUUUUUGAUAAAGAUUGUGACCUUAAAGACUAGUGGACUCUAUCUUCAACUCAGAAAUUCCAUGAGCUUUCCAAAUGCAUUGUGGACCAGUAUGGAAUCUACUCUUGGGAUUUGGCAAAUGAACAAAAUCUAAAUGGGCAUAAUACCCUUGGGGAGAAUAUUGCUGACAACGGGGGUAUUCGCCAGUCUUAUCCAUUAAAGAGAGGGCAUCUAAGUCUUCCCUGCAACUUUUUGGACAUCCCUCUUUACAGCCAAAAUUUCUACCAUUUUGAAAUAUGAAUCUAAUUCAAGACUGUGCAGUCAAAAAGAGUUAGUUUGAAGGCCUACCAGAACUAUGUGAAAAAUCAUGGGAAAGAAACUCCUCUGCCUGGAAUUGACCUCAAUCAUGAGCAUCUUUUUCCUUAACUUUGCACAGCAGACAUACCGCUGAUCCAUGGGUCCAAAAAGUUCCAGUUUGUUGACAUCACUCGUCCAG
Carassius auratus (goldfish) is the source of this 1269-nucleotide long non-coding RNA. RefSeq lists it as uncharacterized. NCBI's taxonomy places the organism in Eukaryota, Metazoa, Chordata, Actinopteri, Cypriniformes, Cyprinidae. The record is from RefSeq and is a predicted model, not a curated record. The transcript is spliced from 6 exons.